GCGAGCGUUAAUCGGAAUUACUGGGCGUAAAGCGCAUGCAGGUGGUUUGUUAAGUCAGAUGUGAAAGCCCGGGGCUCAACCUCGGAAUUGCAUUUGAAACUGGCAGACUAGAGUACUGUAGAGGGGGGUAGAAUUUCAGGUGUAGCGGUGAAAUGCGUAGAGAUCUGAAGGAAUACCGGUGGCGAAGGCGGCCCCCUGGACAGAUACUGACACUCAGAUGCGAAAGCGUGGGGAGCAAACAGGAUUAGAUACCCUGGUAGUCCACGCCGUAAACGAUGUCUACUUGGAGGUUGUGGCCUUGAGCCGUGGCUUUCGGAGCUAACGCGUUAAGUAGACCGCCUGGGGAGUACGGUCGCAAGAUUAAAACUCAAAUGAAUUGACGGGGGCCCGCACAAGCGGUGGAGCAUGUGGUUUAAUUCGAUGCAACGCGAAGAACCUUACCUACUCUUGACAUCCAGAGAACUUUCCAGAGAUGGAUUGGUGCCUUCGGGAACUCUGAGACAGGUGCUGCAUGGCUGUCGUCAGCUCGUGUUGUGAAAUGUUGGGUUAAGUCCCGCAACGAGCGCAACCCUUAUCCUUGUUUGCCAGCGAGUAAUGUCGGGAACUCCAGGGAGACUGCCGGUGAUAAACCGGAGGAAGGUGGGGACGACGUCAAGUCAUCAUGGCCCUUACGAGUAGGGCUACACACGUGCUACAAUGGCGCAUACAGAGGGCGGCCAACUUGCGAAAGUGAGCGAAUCCCAAAAAGUGCGUCGUAGUCCGGAUUGGAGUCUGCAACUCGACUCCAUGAAGUCGGAAUCGCUAGUAAUCGUGGAUCAGAAUGCCACGGUGAAUACGUUCCCGGGCCUUGUACACACCGCCCGUCACACCAUGGGAGUGGGCUGCAAAAGAAGUAGGUAGUUUAACCUUCGGGGGGACGCUUACCACUUUGUGGUUCAUGACUGGGGUGAAGUCGUAACAAGGUAGCGCUAGGGGAACCUGGCGCUGGAUCACC
This 994-nucleotide ribosomal RNA is filed under the name Vibrio parahaemolyticus Peru-288. RNAcentral describes it as "bacterial SSU rRNA". It matches the Rfam family "Bacterial small subunit ribosomal RNA", at positions 534 to 1527 of the family's 1533-position model. Lineage: Bacteria; Pseudomonadati; Pseudomonadota; Gammaproteobacteria; Vibrionales; Vibrionaceae. The record is from RNAcentral.